UUCUACUGCCAUACCACCCUGAACUCAUUCGAUCUCGUCUGAUCUCGAAAGCUAAGCAGGGUCGGGCCUGGUUAGUACUUGGAUGGGAGAGCGCCCUGGAAUACCAGGUGCUGUAGGCU
RNAcentral lists this ribosomal RNA (119 nucleotides) under Callithrix jacchus (white-tufted-ear marmoset). The record is from RNAcentral. Lineage: Eukaryota; Metazoa; Chordata; Mammalia; Primates; Cebidae.